GACGAACGCUGGCGGCGUGCCUAACACAUGCAAGUCGAGCGGAGGUACUUGAGGAGUAAUCUGAGGGUACUUUAGCGGCGGACGGGUGAGUAACGCGUGAGCAACCUGCCUUUCACAGGGGGAUAAGGCGGCGAAAGCCGCUCUAAUACCGCAUGAGACCACGGGGAUGAUAUUCCAGGGGUCAAAGGAGCAAUCCGGUGAGAAAUGGGCUCGCGUCCGAUUAGGUAGUUGGUGAGGUAACGGCCCACCAAGCCAAUGAUCGGUAGCCGGCCUGAGAGGGUGAACGGCCACAUUGGAACUGAGAGACGGUCCAAACUCCUACGGGAGGCAGCAGUGGGGAAUAUUGGGCAAUGGGGGAAACCCUGACCCAGCAACGCCGCGUGAGGGAAGAAGGUUUUCGGAUUGUAAACCUCUGUUCUUGGAGAAGAGAAGAAGACGGUAUCCAAGGAGGAAGCCCCGGCUAACUACGUG
RNAcentral lists this ribosomal RNA (471 nucleotides) under uncultured bacterium. Its description in RNAcentral is "bacterial SSU rRNA". It matches the Rfam family "Bacterial small subunit ribosomal RNA", at positions 28 to 507 of the family's 1533-position model. The record is from RNAcentral.